CCAAGAAGAGGAAAAAAAAUAGAAAAACAAAAAAAAGACUAAAACGGCCGGGAGUCUAGCGCCUUCCCAGGGUGCGUCCUUAACUGGAGACUCCAUAGCCGGCUCCUCCGCCUUCCCAGGGCCUCG
Long non-coding RNA from Sphaerodactylus townsendi, 126 nucleotides. RefSeq lists it as uncharacterized. Lineage: Eukaryota; Metazoa; Chordata; Lepidosauria; Squamata; Sphaerodactylidae. The record is from RefSeq and is a predicted model, not a curated record. The transcript is spliced from 4 exons.